AAUUUUAUUUAAGGUCUGACCUGCCCUAUGAGAAAUUAAAUGGCCGCGGUAUUUUAACCGUGCAAAGGUAGCAUAGUCACUUGUCUCUUAAUUGGAGGCUUGAAUGAAGGGUUGGACGAGAUAUAGACUUUCUUUAUUAUAAUUAGUUGAAUUUGACUUUUGAGUCAAAAGGCUUAAAUUUAUUUAUAGGACGAGAAGACCCUAUAGAAUUUUAUAUUUUUAUAUUAAUAAUUUAUUUGUUUAUAAUUAGAUUUUUUAUUUAAAAAUAUUUUGUUGGGGCGAUGGGAAGAUUUUUUUAACUCU
This 303-nucleotide ribosomal RNA is filed under the name Belostoma sp. 63 TBG-2019. Its description in RNAcentral is "partial large subunit ribosomal RNA". The stretch from base 1 to 177 matches the Rfam family "Archaeal large subunit ribosomal RNA", at positions 1931 to 2143 of the family's 2987-position model. The record is from RNAcentral. Lineage: Eukaryota; Metazoa; Arthropoda; Insecta; Hemiptera; Belostomatidae.